Molecule: long non-coding RNA, 541 nt
Organism: Pundamilia nyererei
Lineage: Eukaryota; Metazoa; Chordata; Actinopteri; Cichliformes; Cichlidae
Exons: 3
Source: RefSeq, a predicted model, not a curated record
CAAAGUGUGUGCGCAGGAGAGGAGCAGAGAGAGCUGCUUUUUCACGAAACGGAAGUAAAGUAGUGAAGUUCGAGGAGAGAAACAAACUAAAGUAUCGAUCAUAAACCACUACCAACGUCCUGAUCGAUAUCUGCAUCGAUCUGCCCACCCUUGUCUCCUGGAUCGUAGCUGAGAUCAGCGUGAACCACGUGGGUCUCUGCUCCCUGAUCUGUUCCCUGUGUUUGGAAAGAGUUGCAGCUUCAUCGCGGAGUUUCUCUCGGUUUGUGGGCUCAUCUAAAGCUGAGUAACAGGAGGAGAAGAGUCUGGUGGAGCAGCAGAGGAACAGUUUCAGCCAUUUGGACUCAGCUCAGCCACUACAGAGGAAACAAUGACUUCAACACAGGAGGACCAACAUGGAGCGAGAAGUGAGCGCUCUCAGGAGGCCGACAAACCUCACAGAAGAACUGGACGGAAAAACUACAGCUGUGAUGACUGUGGGAAGGGUUUUAUCCGGGCCGACAGCUUAAAAAGACACAAACUCAUCCACAGUGGAGUAAAAGCA